This 374-nucleotide ribosomal RNA is filed under the name Nematoda sp. RNAcentral describes it as "SSU rRNA". It matches the Rfam family "Eukaryotic small subunit ribosomal RNA", at positions 252 to 626 of the family's 1831-position model. The record is from RNAcentral. Lineage: Eukaryota; Metazoa; Nematoda.
CUAAAUAACUGAGCGGAGCACACACUCUUGCAGUGGUGCCAGUUCUUUCAAGUGUCUACCUUAUCAACUUCCGACGGUAGUUUAUGCGCCUACCGUGGUUGUAACGGGUAACGGAGAAUCAGGGUUUGACUCCGGAGAGGGAGCCUGAGAAACGGCUACCACUUCUAAGGAAGGCAGCAGGCGCGCAAAUUACCCAUUCUCAGCACGAGGAGGUAGUGACGAGAAAUAGCAAGGCGGUGCCCAAUGGGUGCCGUCAUUGCAAUGAGAACUAUCUAAAUCCUAUACCGAUAAACAAGUCGAGGGCAAGUCUGGUGCCAGCAGCCGCGGUAAUUCCAGCUCGGCUAGCAUAUAUCAAUGUUGCUGCGGUUAAAAAG